UUCCGGUUGAUCCCGCCGGACCCCACUGCUAUCGGGAUAGGACUAAGACAUGCUAGUUAAGCGCUCUUCAGCUAAAGGAGAGUGCGGCGUACAGCUCAGUAACACGUGGCUAACCUGCCCUUGGGACAGAGACAACCCCGGGAAACUGGGGCUAAUCCUUGAUAGGUGAAGAACUCUGGAAUGAGUCUCCGCCUAAAAGGCGCUUGCGCUAUGCUCGUAGGCGUCGCCCAAGGAUGGGGCCGCGACCGAUCAGGUUGUUGGUGAGGUAAUGGCUCACCAAGCCAUUUACCGGUACGGGCCGUGAGAGCGGUAGCCCGGAGAUGGGCACUGAGACAAGGGCCCAGGCCCUACGGGGCGCAGCAGUCGCGCAAACUUUGCAAUACACGAAAGUGUGACAGGGCUAUCCCGAGUGCCGCCCGCUGAGGGUGGCUUUUACUCAGUCUAGCAAGCUGGGAGAAUAAGGAGAGGGCAAGUCUGGUGUCAGCCGCCGCGGUAAUACCAGCUCUCCGAGUGGUGUGGACGUUUAUUGGGCCUAAAGCAUCCGUAGCUGGCUGAUCAAGUCCCUCGUUAAACCCACCGAUUUAAUCGUUGGCUUGCGGGGGAUACUGUUCGGCUAGGGGACGAGAGA
Molecule: ribosomal RNA, 628 nt
Filed under: uncultured archaeon
Lineage: Archaea
Description: bacterial SSU rRNA
Rfam family: Archaeal small subunit ribosomal RNA
Source: RNAcentral